RNAcentral lists this ribosomal RNA (226 nucleotides) under uncultured bacterium. RNAcentral's name for it is "partial 16S ribosomal RNA". It matches the Rfam family "Bacterial small subunit ribosomal RNA", at positions 538 to 763 of the family's 1533-position model. The record is from RNAcentral.
GCGUUGUCCGGAAUCAUUGGGCGUAAAGGGCGCGUAGGUGGCGCGGUAAGCGUGCGGUGAAAGCUCGGGGCUCAACCCCGAGUCUGCCGUGCGAACUGCCGGGCUUGAGCACUGUAGAGGCAGGCGGAAUUCCGGGUGUAGCGGUGGAAUGCGUAGAGAUCCGGAAGAACACCGGUGGCGAAGGCGGCCUGCUGGGCAGUAGCUGACACUGAGGCGCGACAGCGUG